GCCAGGCGUGGUGGCGCGUGCCUGUAGUCCCAACUACUUGGGAGGCUGAGGGUGGAGGAUCCCUUGAGCCCAGGAGUUCUGGGCCAUAGUGCGCUAUGCAGAUCUGGUAUCCGCACUAAGUUCAGCAUCAAUAUGGUGACCUCCCAGGAGUGGGGAGCCACCAGAUUGCCUAAGGAGGGGUGAAUCGGCCCAGGUCAGAAAUGGAGCAGGUCAAAAUAAUAUUUUUAGGGACCAGGUGGUAGUGCACUUGUAGGGCAUACAUGGUACAGUGUGCAAGAAUCUAGGUUCAAGCUCCU
This 296-nucleotide signal recognition particle RNA is filed under the name Erinaceus europaeus (western European hedgehog). RNAcentral describes it as "Metazoan signal recognition particle RNA". It matches the Rfam family "Metazoan signal recognition particle RNA". From Rfam's summary of the family: The signal recognition particle (SRP) is a universally conserved ribonucleoprotein. It is involved in the co-translational targeting of proteins to membranes. The record is from Rfam by way of RNAcentral. Lineage: Eukaryota; Metazoa; Chordata; Mammalia; Eulipotyphla; Erinaceidae.